Molecule: ribosomal RNA, 497 nt
Filed under: uncultured bacterium
Lineage: Bacteria
Description: partial 16S ribosomal RNA
Rfam family: Bacterial small subunit ribosomal RNA
Source: RNAcentral
GAUGAACGCUGGCGGCGUGCCUAAUACAUGCAAGUCGAGCGAACAGACGAGGAGCUUGCUCCUCUGCCGUUAGCGGCGGACGGGUGAGUAACACGUGGAUAACCUACCUAUAAGACUGGGAUAACUUCGGGAAACCGGAGCUAAUACCGGAUCAUAUAUUGAACCGCAUGGUUCAAUAGUUAAAGACGGUUUUGCUGUCACUUAUAGCUGGAUCCGCGCCGCAUUAGCUAGUUGGUAAGGUAACGGCUUACCAAGGCAACGAUGCGUAGCCGACCUGAGAGGGUGAUCGGCCACACUGGAACUGAGACACGGUCCAGACUCCUACGGGAGGCAGCAGUAGGGAAUCUUCCGCAAUGGGCGAAAGCCUGACGGAGCAACGCCGCGUGAGUGAUGAAGGUCUUCGGAUCGUAAAACUCUGUUAUUAGGGAAGAACAAAUGUGUAAGUAACUAUGCACGUCUUGACGGUACCUAAUCAGAAAGCCACGGCUAACUACGUG